GAGGAAGGAGGGAGGCGUGCUUAACACAUGCAAGUCGAACGGAACUACUCCAAUGAGAGUCUUCGGAAAGGAUUUGGUUUAGUUUAGUGGCGGACGGGUGAGUAACGCGUGGGUAACCUGCCCUAUACAGGGGGAUAACAGUUGGAAACGACUGUUAAUACCGCAUAAGCGCACAGGAGCGCAUGCUCCGGUGUGAAAAACUCCGGUGGUAUAGGAUGGACCCGCGUCUGAUUAGCUGGUUGGCGGGGUAACGGCCCACCAAGGCGACGAUCAGUAGCCGGCCUGAGAGGGUGAACGGCCACAUUGGGACUGAGACACGGCCCAAACUCCUACGGGAAGCAGCAGUGGGGAAUAUUGCACAAUGGGGGAAACCCUGAUGCAGCGACGCCGCGUGAGCGAAGAAGUAUCUCGGUAUGUAAAGCUCUAUCAGCAGGGAAGAAAAUGACGGUACCUGACUAAGAAGCCCCGGCUAACUACGUG
This 480-nucleotide ribosomal RNA is filed under the name uncultured bacterium. Its description in RNAcentral is "partial 16S ribosomal RNA". It matches the Rfam family "Bacterial small subunit ribosomal RNA", at positions 38 to 507 of the family's 1533-position model. The record is from RNAcentral.